UGGUUUAGUUGUUAAGCUGUUAAAACUAAGGGGAGAUUAUUCAAACAUUAUAAAUAUUAACUUAUAUGACUGUGUAUUUUUCUUUUUACUUUUUCAAGUAAAUAAAAGUUACUUGUUGAAGUAGUACCCCUGACUGUACAAUGCUGUAUGUCAUGUAUGUGGAUAAGGAACACUCUAGAAAUUUUUGACCUGAAAGAUCUUUAGGUUUUGU
This 211-nucleotide long non-coding RNA is filed under the name Mytilus galloprovincialis (Mediterranean mussel). Lineage: Eukaryota; Metazoa; Mollusca; Bivalvia; Mytilida; Mytilidae. The record is from RNAcentral.